UGGCUUCAGUAGCACAUAUGCCAAAAAUUGGAAUGAUACAGAGAUUAGCAUGGCCCCCGAGCAAGGAAGACUGGGAAAUUCACAAAGCGUUUCAUAUGUGU
Small nuclear RNA from Cercocebus atys (sooty mangabey), 101 nucleotides. The record is from Ensembl. Lineage: Eukaryota; Metazoa; Chordata; Mammalia; Primates; Cercopithecidae.